RNAcentral lists this transfer RNA (66 nucleotides) under Ochthebius sp. IBE<ESP> AN292. Its description in RNAcentral is "tRNA-Trp". Lineage: Eukaryota; Metazoa; Arthropoda; Insecta; Coleoptera; Hydraenidae. The record is from RNAcentral.
AAGGAUUUAAGUUAAAAUAAACUUGUAGUCUUCAAAACUGCCUAUAAAGUCCCUCUUUAAGCCUUA